Molecule: small nucleolar RNA, 83 nt
Filed under: Hanseniaspora osmophila
Lineage: Eukaryota; Fungi; Ascomycota; Saccharomycetes; Saccharomycodales; Saccharomycodaceae
Source: RNAcentral
UGAGAAGAUGACCAACUGUCGCCCCAAUCGGAAUCGCCAAAUGAACGAUCUAUAGACAUAGCCAAACACUGAAAAUUCUGAUC